GACGAACGCUGGCGGCGUGCCUAAUACAUGCAAGUAGAACGCUGAAGGAGGAGCUUGCUUCUCUGGAUGAGUUGCGAACGGGUGAGUAACGCGUAGGUAACCUGCCUGGUAGCGGGGGAUAACUAUUGGAAACGAUAGCUAAUACCGCAUAAUAGUAGAUGUUGCAUGACAUUUGCUUAAAAGAUGCAAUUGCAUCACUACCAGAUGGACCUGCGUUGUAUUAGCUAGUUGGUGAGGUAAAGGCUCACCAAGGCAACGAUACAUAGCCGACCUGAAAGGGUGAUCGGCCACACGCGGACUGAGUAACGGCCGCGACUACUACGAGAGGAAGCAGUAGGGAAUCUUCCGCAAUGGCCGGAAGUAUGGACGAACAAAGCUGCGUGAGUGAAAGAGGUUCUCGGAUCGUAAAGCUAUGUUGUAAGAGAAGAAAGAGUGUGAGAGUGGAAAGUUCACUCUGUGACGGUAUCUUACCAGAAAGAGAAGGCUAAGUACGUG
RNAcentral lists this ribosomal RNA (495 nucleotides) under uncultured bacterium. RNAcentral's name for it is "partial 16S ribosomal RNA". It matches the Rfam family "Bacterial small subunit ribosomal RNA", at positions 28 to 507 of the family's 1533-position model. The record is from RNAcentral.